Non-coding RNA from Vicugna pacos (alpaca), 1196 nucleotides. Lineage: Eukaryota; Metazoa; Chordata; Mammalia; Artiodactyla; Camelidae. The record is from RefSeq and is a predicted model, not a curated record.
CUGAUGGUGUCCAGGUCAGACUGGUUCCGACCUAAGAACGGGACCGCGCGGGGUUCGCGCUGGGUCCGACUGAAAGCGGGCUGGGUCCGGUGUGUGGCCUCCGGUGAAUAAAAGUUUACCUGAAGACUGAACAGAGGUUAUACCAGAGACGGUCUCGAAUGACAGUGGCCACAGUGGAGAGCGUUUAAGCUAGAAAAGCGUGUGCAUUCAGGAGGGGCCUUGAGAAAGAGGGGCCUCAGCCAGGCACUCAUAUAAAGAGCUGAGGGAAAAUUAUUUUUCCUCCUCUGUGGUUUCUGGUGACCAAGUGAGACCCCCUGGGACACGCCGCUCACUCCUCAGCCUGCGGACGGCAUCCGGGGAAAACUGGCGAAGCAACGAAGGUAAGAACUCCUGCCGAAGUCUCAGAGCCCUGUCCGUGAGACACGAGAGGAAAUGCCAGAUCAGCUCCAUGUGGAAACACGAGCAGACCUAUCUCAAGGUACCACCUUCGCCUGACAUGAACUGUCAGAAUUGCAGACAUGCUGAGUAAAUCCAACCCCUUCAUACUGAUGUCUUCUGGAUUGUCCUGGUCUCUUACCCUCUGUCCCAAAGAUCUAACAGCAAUAAUUUUAUGCUGAACAACAAAUUAUAUGAGAAGGGAAACUAAGAAAAACAGAGAAGUAGAAGACUUGCAAUUGAGCAUUGUAAGUAACACCCGAGUACCGGUUACUACAGCCUAAAAACUCCAUGAGGACUGAGGCUGUGACAGCCUUUCACUGCUGUAUCCUCAGUAGUUCAUAGAAGACAUUUAAUAAACAGCUGUUGAAAGAAUAAACUGCAAGAAAACAACUGCCACUUUUUUGCUAGUUAUUUAAAACACUUCUUCAGUUUACAAGAGAUGGACUUAGAGAAAAGUUGAGGGCUCUUAUCAGAAGACGCAUUCUAACCAGCCAGUCUGUACACACCCACAAGCUGUGCGGGACCGAUUUUGUGCCUGUUAUUCCUGUGCCAGAGCAAUUCUCACUUAAAGAUGCGCUUAUGGUAUCAAAUGUGAAAAAUAAAUUAUUAAAAAUUAAUAGUUGUAUAAAGUUCUGUUUUCCAGUAACAUACUCUCCCCAUUUGAUGCUAUUUUAAAAAGGAAAACCACUUUACUGACAGUGACAGUGAGAGGUGGUUGUCCUGUGUCAAGAUCACAAUUCAGUAGUUGAUCAAGGACU